GCAUUGGUGGUUCACUGGUAGAAUUCUUGCCUGCCACGUGGGAGACUCGGGUCUGAUUCCUGGCCAAUGCA
Danio rerio (zebrafish) is the source of this 71-nucleotide non-coding RNA. Lineage: Eukaryota; Metazoa; Chordata; Actinopteri; Cypriniformes; Danionidae. The record is from Rfam.